ACAGUAAAAUUUCCAUUUCAUUUUUUAAGCUUCUAUUUUUUUCAUUUUUAGGGAAGGUAUGUUCAUUCAGACACAUUAGAAAAUUCAGAUUAAAAGCAAGAGGAAAACUGGCCAAAAAAAAAAGGAAAAUGUUUUAUAUGUACAUGCAUUAAAACGAUCUGAAAGAAUGUACUCUUCAUGGAACCUCUCUGCAAAAUGAGACUCGAGACAAGGAGGGGAGGAGGCUGGAGAAGAAAAAAAGAAAACUGACUUGACAGAAGAGAGGUUAGAUAGCCUCCCUCACCUCUGAAACCACCAGGAAGAAUACCUGGAGAGGACUUGUUCCACCUAAUUGGUUGGGUUGGAAGAACUUCUACAGAGAGACAUUCACCAGGAUACUAAAGAGGAUAAAAUAUAUAUGGAAAUUACAAUAUGACAUGGAAAAGGUUUGUUUCCUGUUUGUGGAGCACCAGCUUCUGAGAUCACCC
Molecule: long non-coding RNA, 467 nt
Filed under: Monodon monoceros (narwhal)
Lineage: Eukaryota; Metazoa; Chordata; Mammalia; Artiodactyla; Monodontidae
Description: lncRNA (ENSMMNG00015014554.1)
Source: RNAcentral